Passer domesticus (house sparrow) is the source of this 671-nucleotide long non-coding RNA. RefSeq lists it as uncharacterized. The transcript has 4 exons. NCBI's taxonomy places the organism in Eukaryota, Metazoa, Chordata, Aves, Passeriformes, Passeridae. The record is from RefSeq and is a predicted model, not a curated record.
CCCGCCGUGUCCCGCUGCGCGCGCAGCCGGAAGGCGCCGCGCCCGCCCCGCCGCGUAUUUAGCGGGAUCCCGGGGGGAAUCGGCCUUUCCUGCGGGGACGGAACCGGAGCGGCCGCGCCUGCCCGCCUCCAGCCGGGGAGCGUGCCUCGGCAGAAAGUGAAGCUCAAGAUGAGUUUGUUGCUGGCUUUGGAAAUCCUCAGUCUGGACUCUGCCAUGCCUCGCAAGCAGAAAGAUGCCACGUGAAUUCUGGAGCUACAGAAGUUCUGUGACAUCAGGUGAUCACCUCCACUGUCUUCCAGCCUUGUGUGAGCACAUAGGGCCAGAAGAGAGUCCACCACUUGUAGAAGUGUGGGUGUUUAAGGAGCUUGAAAGCAGCAGCGUGGAAUGUGGAGUUCUAAUGCACUUGGAAAUGCUUGCAUUGCCCUUCCUGCUCGUCAGAAAUACUGCUUGGUUCCAUAGUACAGCAGGGGAGUAGCUGUUCACUGAAAAUGAAUAAAGAGAAGUGACCUUCUGGGCAGUCUUAGAACUUACUGUGAAUUUUUGAGUGUAUCAAAUAAAUGGAUCAAAAGUGAAUAAGACAAAGAUUAAAAUGUGGGAAAAUCUGUGUUGUCUAAAUGACUGUUUACAGUGUUAGUAGUGGGUAUGAAUAAAAUCUUGUAUUUCUGUUUUCA